This 468-nucleotide ribosomal RNA is filed under the name uncultured bacterium. Its description in RNAcentral is "partial 16S ribosomal RNA". It matches the Rfam family "Bacterial small subunit ribosomal RNA", at positions 28 to 507 of the family's 1533-position model. The record is from RNAcentral.
GACGAACGCUGGCGGCGUGCUUAACACAUGCAAGUCGAACGGAAAGGCCCUGCUUUUGUGGGGUGCUCGAGUGGCGAACGGGUGAGUAACACGUGAGUAACCUGCCCUUGACUUUGGGAUAACUUCAGGAAACUGUGGCUAAUACCGGAUAGGAUCUCCUGCUGCAUGGUGGGGGUUGGAAAGUUUCGGCGGUUGGGGAUGGACUCGCGGCUUAUCAGCUUGUUGGUGGGGUAGUGGCUUACCAAGGCUUUGACGGGUAGCCGGCCUGAGAGGGUUACCGGCCACAUUGGGACUGAGAGACGGCCCAGACUCCUACGGGAGGCAGCAGGGGGGAAUAUUGCACAAUGGGCGGAAGCCUGAUGCAGAAACGCCGCGUGCGGGAUGACGGCCUUCGGGUUGUAAACCGCUUUCGCCUGUGACGAAGCGUGAGUGACGGUAAUGGGUAAAGAAGCACCGGCUAACUACGUG